This 457-nucleotide ribosomal RNA is filed under the name uncultured bacterium. RNAcentral describes it as "partial 16S ribosomal RNA". It matches the Rfam family "Bacterial small subunit ribosomal RNA", at positions 338 to 795 of the family's 1533-position model. The record is from RNAcentral.
CCUACGGGAGGCAGCAGUGGGGAAUAUUCCACAAUGGGGGAAACCCUGAUGCAGCGACGCCGCGUGAGUGAAGAAGUAUUUCGGUAUUUAAAGCUCUAUCAGCAGGGAAGUAAUAAAGUCCUUCGGACCUUGGUCGGUACUUGACUAAGAAGCACCGGCUAACUACGUGCCAGCAGCCGCGGUAAUACGUAGGGGGCAAGCGUUAUCCGGAUUUACUGGGUGUAAAGGGAGCGUAGACGGCAGCGCAAGUCUGGAGUGAAAUCCCAUGGCUUAACCAUGGAACUGCUUUGGAAACUGUGCGGCUGGAGUGCAGGAGAGGUAGGCGGAAUUCCUGGUGUAGCGGUGAAAUGCGUAGAUAUUAGGAGGAACACCGGUGGCGAAGGCGGCUUACUGGACUGUAACUGACGUUGAGGCUCGAAAGCGUGGGGAGCAAACAGGAUUAGAUACCCUGGUAGUC